CCCCCACUAUAGUAGUGGGGGACAUAUUGUUUUUGCCCUGUCUGUUGGUCUGUCUGUUGGUCUGUCUGUUUGCGCCAACUUUAACAUUUUGCAAUAACUUUUGCUAUAUUGAAGAUAGCAACUUCAUAUUUGGCAUGCAUGUGUAUCUCAUGAAUCUGCACAUUUUGAGUGGUGAAAGGUCAAGGUCAUCCUUCAAGGUCAGAGGUCAAAGAUAUGUGGCCAAAAUCGCUCAUUUUAUGAAUACUUUUGCAAUAUUGAAGAUAGCAACUUGAUAUUUGGCAUGCAUGUGUAUCUCAUGGAGCUGCACAUUUUGAGUGGUGAAAGGUCAAGGUCAAGGUCAUCCUUCAAGAUCAGAGGUCAAAUAUAUGUGGCCCAAAUGGCUUAUUUUAUGAAUACUUUUGCAAUAUUGAAGAUAGCAACUUGAUAUUUGGCAUGCAUGUGUAUCUCAUGGAGCUGCACAUUUUGAGAGGUGAAAGGUCAAGGUCAUCCUUCAAGGUCAAAUAUAUGGGUCAAAAUUGCUCAUGUAAUGUCACUUCUGCAAUAUUGAAGCUAGCAAUUUUAUAUUUGAAAUGCAUGUGUAUCUCACGGAGCUGCACAUUUUGAGUGGUGAAGGGUCAAGGUCAAGGUCAUCCUUCAAGGUCAAACGCUAU
Molecule: long non-coding RNA, 650 nt
Organism: Dreissena polymorpha
Lineage: Eukaryota; Metazoa; Mollusca; Bivalvia; Myida; Dreissenidae
Exons: 3
Source: RefSeq, a predicted model, not a curated record